GAUGCAGCCAUGCCGCGUGUGUGAAGAAGGCCUUCGGGUUGUAAAGCACUUUCAGUCAGGAGGAAAGGUUAGUAGUUAAUACCUGCUAGCUGUGACGUUACUGACAGAAGAAGCACCGGCUAACUCCGUGCCAGCAGCCGCGGUAAUACGGAGGGUGCGAGCGUUAAUCGGAAUUACUGGGCGUAAAGCGUACGCAGGCGGUUUGUUAAGCGAGAUGUGAAAGCCCCGGGCUCAACCUGGGAACUGCAUUUCGAACUGGCAAACUAGAGUGUGAUAGAGGGUGGUAGAAUUUCAGGUGUAGCGGUGAAAUGCGUAGAGAUCUGAAGGAAUACCGAUGGCGAAGGCAGCCACCUGGGUCAACACUGACGCUCAUGUACGAAAGCGUGGGGAGCAAACGGGAUUAGAUACCCCGGUAGUCCACGCCGUAAACGAUGUCUACUAGAAGCUCGGAGCCUCGGUUCUGUUUUUCAAAGCUAACGCAUUAAGUAGACCGCCUGGGGAGUACGGCCGCAAGGUUAAAACUCAAAUGAAUUGACGGGGGCCCGCACAAGCGGUGGAGCAUGUGGUUUAAUUCGAUGCAACGCGAAGAACCUUACCUACACUUGACAUACAGAGAACUUACCAGAGAUGGUUUGGUGCCUUCGGGAACUCUGAUACAGGUGCUGCAUGGCUGUCGUCAGCUCGUGUUGUGAGAUGUUGGGUUAAGUCCCGCAACGAGCGCAACCC
Molecule: ribosomal RNA, 726 nt
Filed under: Pseudoalteromonas sp. PY145D
Lineage: Bacteria; Pseudomonadati; Pseudomonadota; Gammaproteobacteria; Alteromonadales; Pseudoalteromonadaceae
Description: bacterial SSU rRNA
Rfam family: Bacterial small subunit ribosomal RNA
Source: RNAcentral